ACAGCAGCCGCCGCGGGAAUACGGAGGGUGCAAGCGUUAAUCGGAAUUACUGGGCGUAAAGCGCACGCAGGCGGUCUGACAAGUCAGAUGUGAAAUCCCCGGGCUUAACCUGGGAACUGCAUUUGAAACUGUCAGGCUGGAGUCUUGUAGAGGGGGGUGGAAUUCCAGGUGUAGCGGUGAAAUGCGUAGAGAUCUGGAGGAAUACCGGUGGCGAAGGCGGCCCCCUGGACAAAGACUGACGCUCAGGUGCGAAAGCGUGGGGAGCAAACAGGAUUAGAGACCCCAGUAGUCCCUGUCUCUUAUAU
RNAcentral lists this ribosomal RNA (305 nucleotides) under uncultured bacterium. RNAcentral's name for it is "partial 16S ribosomal RNA". It matches the Rfam family "Bacterial small subunit ribosomal RNA", at positions 508 to 809 of the family's 1533-position model. The record is from RNAcentral.